CGGCCGGGGAUUAGUGGCGAACGGGUGAGUAACACGUGGGCAAUCUGCCCUGCACUCUGGGACAAGCCCUGGAAACGGGGUCUAAUACCGGAUACGACAUGGGAAUGCAUGUUCCUGUGUGGAAAGCUCCGGCGGUGCAGGAUGAGCCCGCGGCCUAUCAGCUAGUUGGUGGGGUAGAGGCCUACCAAGGCGACGACGGGUAGCCGGCCUGAGAGGGCGACCGGCCACACUGGGACUGAGACACGGCCCAGACUCCUACGGGAGGCAGCAGUGGGGAAUAUUGCACAAUGGGCGAAAGCCUGAUGCAGCGACGCCGCGUGAGGGAUGACGGCCUUCGGGUUGUAAACCUCUUUCAGCAGGGAAGAAGCUUUCGGGUGACGGUACCUGCAGAAGAAGCACCGGCUAACUACGUGCCAGCAGCCGCGGUAAUACGUAGGGUGCGAGCGUUGUCCGGAAUUAUUGGGCGUAAAGAGCUCGUAGGCGGCUUGUCACGUCGGUUGUGAAAGCCCGGGGCUUAACCCCGGGUCUGCAGUCGAUACGGGCAGGCUAGAGUUCGGUAGGGGAGAUCGGAAUUCCUGGUGUAGCGGUGAAAUGCGCAGAUAUCAGGAGGAACACCGGUGGCGAAGGCGGAUCUCUGGGCCGAUACUGACGCUGAGGAGCGAAAGCGUGGGGAGCGAACAGGAUUAGAUACCCUGGUAGUCCACGCCGUAAACGGUGGGAACUAGGUGUGGGCGACAUUCCACGUCGUCCGUGCCGCAGCUAACGCAUUAAGUUCCCCGCCUGGGGAGUACGGCCGCAAGGCUAAAACUCAAAGGAAUUGACGGGGGCCCGCACAAGCGGCGGAGCAUGUGGCUUACUUCGACGCAACGCGAAGAACCUUACCAAGGCUUGACAUACACCGGGAAAACCGUGGAGACACGGUCCCCCUUGUGGUCGGUGUACAGGUGGUGCAUGGCCUGUCGUCAGCUCGUGUCGUGAGAUGUUGGUUUAAGUCCCGCAACGAGCGCAACCCAUUAUCCCU
RNAcentral lists this ribosomal RNA (1021 nucleotides) under Streptomyces bohaiensis. RNAcentral's name for it is "bacterial SSU rRNA". It matches the Rfam family "Bacterial small subunit ribosomal RNA", at positions 82 to 1113 of the family's 1533-position model. Lineage: Bacteria; Bacillati; Actinomycetota; Actinomycetes; Kitasatosporales; Streptomycetaceae. The record is from RNAcentral.